AAUCAAGUUGUAACACUCGCUGCUGUGGUCCACAGCUUCAUUCCUUGAAGCCCGUGAGACACGAACGCUUCCAUUGAGAAAAACCUUCCAUCAGAAGAAGACUUCUCGUCUCAGUGGGACUGCUGAGUUGAAUGGUGCUUUUUUUUCUGAAGCUUUGGUAGUGUAACUGUAAGAGUCCUGGAAUUGGAAAAGCAAAUCCAGAAGUUGAGUUCCAUGACUUUUUUGCUGUUUGCCUUUGGACUUGCAUCAUUUAUAUUUUUAAUUCAUCGAGGAUGAGAAAAUUGAUUAACACAAAAUCUUUUCAUGUCUUUUCUGAUGAGAGACUAGCUGAAUCCAAGAAGAGAAGCCCUUGAAGAGUGUAUUCUAUUCUAGACAAGCAUUCACACAUUGGCUUCUUUGGUGCCAGCAUGUUUCUGAUCAGCAUGAAAACUGCGCAGGAGCUUUUCUGUCUUGCAGAGCUAGUUAAUGAGAUUGUUGCUGCCUUCAGAUUCUAUAAAGGACUUCUCCAAUAUUGGAUUAAAGAAUGAAGAAAGGAUCAAAUUGAGACAUCCAGGGGGGAAGAGUUCCCUGGCAAAACUCCAAUCUGCCUGAGCACUGAGGUGGAGCCACAGAAGUCCGGGUCAUUUGCACCUGGGAGGAGCCUGGCCCCUCCUCUUCCUGUGUGGAAUCUGGGAUUUAAUCUGUGAGGAGGGAAGGCCAAGGGCAGGAAGCACAGGCUCUCACUUCACUAAGAGUCUCUGUUUCCCCUUUUUUUCCUUUAUGCCUAAUUAAUAAAUCCCAUUUUUCUCACUCUUCAAAUAGUCUUCAAGCCUAAAUUUUCAUGACCAUGGAACAAGGACCCCAUCUUUAGCUGAACUAAGGAAAAGUCCUGCAACAAAAUUCUUUGCUAAAAAUACAUGAGGUUGCCUUUUCCUUCUUAAUCUUAAAAGAAAUAUAUUUCAAUGGUUAACGUUUUAGUAAUUCAAAAAUUAUCAAGCAUUUGUUCACAACCAUAAGAUGUGCAUUGUUUUAUAUUCCUACUUAAUAAUAGACUAUAAUUGUCUAA
RNAcentral lists this long non-coding RNA (1045 nucleotides) under Homo sapiens (human). RNAcentral describes it as "HSALNT0378420". Lineage: Eukaryota; Metazoa; Chordata; Mammalia; Primates; Hominidae. The record is from RNAcentral.